UCUGACAUGGGUAGAUGGGAAUUUCA
This 26-nucleotide non-coding RNA is filed under the name Homo sapiens (human). The record is from RNAcentral. Lineage: Eukaryota; Metazoa; Chordata; Mammalia; Primates; Hominidae.